Molecule: unclassified non-coding RNA, 221 nt
Filed under: uncultured Thelephoraceae
Lineage: Eukaryota; Fungi; Basidiomycota; Agaricomycetes; Thelephorales; Thelephoraceae
Description: sequence contains ITS2
Source: RNAcentral
ACACCUCAACUCUUCAUGGUUUUCCAUGAUGAGCUUGGACUUUGGGGGGUUUUGCUGGCCUACAAUCAGCUCCCCUAAAAUAAAUCAGCUUGCCAGUGUUUGGUGGGUAUCACAGGUGUGAUAACUAUCUACGCUUGUGGUUUUUCCACCGGUAACCUUCAGCAGUGGAGGUUCACUGGAGCUCACAGAUGUCUCUCCUCAGUGAGGACAGCCCUUUGAAU